AACGUAGGGGGCGAGCGUUAUCCGGAAUCACUGGGUGUAAAGGGUACSCASGCGGAUUUGUAWGUNGGAUGUAAAAACUCAGGGCUCAWCCUUGGGCYUGCAUCCUAGACUACAAGUCUAGAGAGCAGGAGARGGGAGUGGAAUUCCCGGUGUAGGGGUNAAAUCCGUAAAUAUCGGGAGGAACACCAAUGGCGAAUGCAGCUCCCUGGCCUGUCUCUGACGCUCAGGUACGAAAGCGUGGGGAKCAAACACGAUKAGACACCCUGGUAGUCCACGCCCUANACNAUGGGUGCUUGGUGUUGGGGGGUMAUUCCCUCAGUGCCGUAGCYAACGCGUUAA
This 339-nucleotide ribosomal RNA is filed under the name Caldiserica clone OPT76. Its description in RNAcentral is "partial 16S ribosomal RNA". It matches the Rfam family "Bacterial small subunit ribosomal RNA", at positions 524 to 863 of the family's 1533-position model. The record is from RNAcentral. Lineage: Bacteria; Pseudomonadati; Caldisericota.